GGGCUACACACGUGCUACAAUGGGUAGUACAGAGGGUUGCCAAGCCGUAAGGUGGAGCUAAUCCCUUAAAGCUACUCUCAGUUCGGAUUGUAGGCUGAAACUCGCCUACAUGAAGCUGGAGUUACUAGUAAUCGCAGAUCAGAAUGCUGCGGUGAAUGCGUUCCCGGGUCUUGUACACACCGCCCGUCACACCACGGGAGUUGGAGACGCCCGAAGCCGAUUAUCUAACCUUUUGGAAGAAGUCGUCGAAGGUGGAAUCAAUAACUGGGGUGAAGUCGUAACAAGGUAGCCGUAUCGGAAGGUGCGGCUGGAUCACCUCCUUUCUAAGGA
This 330-nucleotide ribosomal RNA is filed under the name Clostridioides difficile. RNAcentral describes it as "bacterial SSU rRNA". It matches the Rfam family "Bacterial small subunit ribosomal RNA", at positions 1211 to 1533 of the family's 1533-position model. Lineage: Bacteria; Bacillati; Bacillota; Clostridia; Peptostreptococcales; Peptostreptococcaceae. The record is from RNAcentral.